RNAcentral lists this ribosomal RNA (556 nucleotides) under uncultured bacterium. RNAcentral's name for it is "bacterial SSU rRNA". It matches the Rfam family "Bacterial small subunit ribosomal RNA", at positions 119 to 674 of the family's 1533-position model. The record is from RNAcentral.
GAAUUACAUGCCCUUCAGCGGGGAAUAGCCCAGGGAAACUUGGAUUAAUACCCCAUGGUAUCGCAAGAUUAAAGGUGGCCGCAAGGCUGUCGCUGAAGGAUUGGUUCGCGCCCUAUCAGCUUGUUGGUGAGGUAACGGCUCACCAAGGCUACGACGGGUACCUGGUCUGAGAGGACGAUCAGGCACACUGGAACUGAGACACGGUCCAGACACCUACGGGUGGCAGCAGUCGAGAAUAAUUCACAAUGGGGGCAACCCUGAUGGUGCAACGCCGCGUGGAGGAUGACGGUCUUCGGAUUGUAAACUCCUGUCAUCCGGGAGUAAGACCUGGCUGUGAAUAGCAGACAGGGUUGAUAGUACCGGAAGAGGAAGGGACGGCUAACUUCGUGCCAGCAGCCGCGGUAAUACGAAGGUCCCGAGCGUUGUUCGGAAUCACUGGGCGUAAAGGGAGCGUAGGCGGCGUGGUAAGUCAGAUGUGAAAUCCCGGGGCUCAACCCCGGAACUGCAUCCGAUACUGCCGUGCUAGAGGAUUGGAGAGGUAGCUGGAAUUCUUGGU